UGGGGAAUUUUCCGCAAUGGGCGCAAGCCUGACGGAGCAAUACCGCGUGAGCGAAGAAGGCCUUAGGGUUGUAAAGCUCUUUCAGCUGGGAAGAUAAUGACGGUACCAGCAGAAGAAGCCCCGGCUAACUCCGUGCCAGCAGCCGCGGUAAUACGGAGGGGGCUAGCGUUGUUCGGAAUUACUGGGCGUAAAGCGCACGUAGGCGGAUCAGUCAGUCAGGGGUGAAAUCCCGGGGCUCAACCCCGGAACUGCCUUUGAUACUGCUGGUCUUGAGGAUGAGAGAGGCGAGUGGAAUUCCGAGUGUAGAGGUGAAAUUCGUAGAUAUUCGGAGGAACACCAGUGGCGAAGGCGGCUCGCUGGCUCAUUUCUGACGCUGAGGUGCGAAAGCGUGGGGAGCAAACAGGAUUAGAUACCCCCGUAGUCC
RNAcentral lists this ribosomal RNA (424 nucleotides) under uncultured prokaryote. Its description in RNAcentral is "bacterial SSU rRNA". It matches the Rfam family "Bacterial small subunit ribosomal RNA", at positions 355 to 796 of the family's 1533-position model. The record is from RNAcentral.